GGACGGGAAUAGGACAUUUAAAUAAAAACAAAAACGAACUAAACAGGACUGAGGUAGACCAGCUUUCUAUCAUGUCUGUUAUGUUUUAGCGUUUAAACGCUACUAUCGUGAGUGAUAAUGAUCUUUAUAAAUACAUGUAUAAAUCUAGACUUUCGAGUCGAGCGUAUAGUCGGCAUAUUAGUACUAUCCAAAUGUAGGGAACGUCAUUCAGCGCAGUGACACUGACGUGGCGUAUAGUGUUGCUGGGCUUGAAUGAUAUUCCCUACAUUUGCAUUGUACACUACUUAUCUGCGGCGGCAUCAUUGACGCGACAGACGUUCGACUCGAAAGUUUACCAUUCCGGCUCAAUCAUUGCUUUUUGUCGGGGUAUGUCCGACUAGUUCAGGCGACGCGGCACUCAGUUUACUCAGACUGCUAAGCCAGCGUUGCGGAAACGGACUCACAAGGCCCUCAGACGGGUCUAAAACUAAUUAGGCAUACUCGGGCAAAAAGUAUUUGAACUGAUUUAUACAUAUUAUUUAUUUAUGUUGAGUUUAUUUUUAUUAAAUUCAAAUUCAAAAAAACGUUUAUUUCAUAUAGCCCAAUUUUUUAAAAUAAAAAUAUCGAGCAAACGAGCAGGUGGAUCACCUGAUGUAAGUGUGCCACCGCCCAUGAUCAUUUGCAGUACCAGAGGAACCGCCAACGCGUAGCCAGUCUCCAAUCGUCCAUCCAAAUUACAAAAGAUGGUUUUAAUUAGCUUUAUAUGGUCACGGAAUAAGUAAAUAAUUUAAGUGUCAUUUAAGCUAGUUAUCUGAUAAGAAAAAAUUACAGUUAUGUAAAAUUUUCUAAUGUCUCGAUUUAAAUGUAACUGAACUGCAUGAUUAAUGAUAAAAUACGAUAAUAGUAAUUAGCCAAAAGAGCGUUAUCGUUUUGCAUUGCGUUGGCAUUAUGUGUUACUUUGGCUCGAAGCUGGCCUCACUGAAAUAAAACUAAAAAUAACUAAUAAAAUAAGCAUGCGGGACUAAAAAGCAUGAAACCACAAGCAUUUUUAUUCACAUUUAUUGGUUACAUGUGUAACAUACACGUAGUACAGUGUUAUUUAAAGGGAUUAUUUAUAUUUACAUAUUCUCAUUUUAUAAAUAUGGUAGGUAUAGUAAAUAUGUAUAUAUACAAGAGAUUUUAUAAAAUUAAUUAUUAUUAAGCAGAGAGAUAAAGAUAUAUUUUUGAAAAUACAAUCUUCCUCGAUAGUAAUUUGCAACAAUCGAAAUAGACUGUUUUUACAGAGUUAGUCAUAUUAUCUUAAUAGACAAAAUAUAGAAGAGAUGUUAUUUAGGAUUAGUGUAUGCUAUUCUAGGUCACUAGUGGAACAAUACUAAAUACUAGAACAAUAUACAGCGAUGUUAAUAACUUAAAACACUUCACAACUCUACUGGAAAUAACUUAUUUUUAAUGAAUAAUAUAAAAAUAAUGAUAAUCAUUAUAAAAUAAUAUUAUAUUGUAAUAAUAAUCCUAUUAAAUAAAAAAUUAUUUAUGAUACAAGAUUAAAAAUCGUACGUUUUUAAAAAAUAUAUACAGAUACACCACAGGACAACUUAUAGUUAUGAAAUUCUAGAUGAUACAAAAAAAUCAUCAAAUAUGAAACGGAUCACUUAAAUGCUUUUAUUAAUAUAAGUUACGUUAAUUUUGCACAAAAAAUUUACAUUUUUUUUGCCUGGUGGAAGACAUCACGACUUUUACCAUUACGGUUAUUACCGUUCCAAUUAUCCAAUUUUAUAAAGUGAUUUUUCGAAUAACCUGCCAUUAAUAGUUUACCAAUUAUUAUCUAUUGAUUAAUUAUAUGAAGCUUUUCUCUUUUCUUGUCUGUAAGCAAAUCUUUAUGUGUAUUCUAUUUUCAGAAUAUAUAGUAGUAAAUUAAAUAAUUAAUUAGUUCUUGCAAUGAUCUUUUCUAAAUUAAGUACUUACGUAUUACAUCAUUAUUAACAUCGAAAGCGUAGCUUUAUACUGAAUACACAAAUACUUCCCCAUAAAUGCUGUCACUUAUAAAUCGAAAUGUAAUUUUUGCCGCAUUUGUGUACUCAGUCGUUAACCGUCUUAGUUUUAAAAUUAUCGUAUUACACCUAAACAUUUCGCCAACAUCUUUCCACCUUAAACUAUCAUACUUAGCAAAUGAAAAGCGAUUGUACAAAUCAAAUUGGCCCCACAUAUUUAAAAAUUAACAUUCUAAAUCAUACUGUCAACUCGUAACUAAAUGGACGACAGCUCAAUCACUAUUUGUUGAGAAAUGGUAGGGUAAAGUGUGUUUUAUAAUUUUAUUAUUAUUUAAUACUAGAGUAAACACUAGAUACGCGAUUAUAAGUUACACCUACUGGAUUCGCAAUUUAACGUGCUUUACUAGAGAUUGCAUAAAUGUAAGAAUAUAAUUUAAGAACAAACUUUAUUCAUUUUACUUGAAUAGAUAAUAAGAAAUUGUACGUGUAUUACCAACGUUACGCGUGAGAAGCCGACUCUACUUAUACAACAUGUUAGCGAAUACUCUCAAGGUCUGGGUCCACUAACUAUACCUACUCAAACUCACGUUACUCUUACAUAUUUCAUACAAUUCAAUUACCCCAGGUCGUGUAUCCAGUCUCUCAUCUUAACACUAACCGAAUGAGUAUUAAUAACGAUUGGUCUUACGUCUAUCGAUAUUUAAAUACUAUGCAGACUUUGUGUAUUGUAUUAUUACGACGCUACAUAUAUUAAACAAGGCGAAAAAGGAAUCUAUUUUUUUUUUGUUAUUUAUGACAAUUAAAUUCAUUACUCCUACUAUGCAAUUGUGACAUAGUCGUAUUCACGUACAAUAGCUUGUUCGAUUUAAGAAACUCUCUAGGUUUUACUAUCCAGACGAAUAUUGUUGCUAUGAGAAAAGAUGUCACAAACUCAAACUACCCUAUCGACGCUCACGUGGUCAUGUCUGCGUAGUUGAUUUAAUUUUAUUCGAAUGUAGCCUAUACGGUUAUUUGAAUAAAAAUUGAUAUGUUUAGUGUUUUAUAGUAUCAGCCGAGUUAAAUACUCACCGCCUUGAUGUUUGACGCAGAUUUGACCACGGCACAUUGCAAGUUAUCGCAAAAGACUGCUACGGUUAGCUGUGGCCGUUACGUAGAACGAAUAUUAAUCCGGUCUCUUAAAUUACAUCCAAUAUCCGAUGUAAAGCGAGAUUAUUAUAAUAAUAUAACUAACUACGAAUCAAUUCCAAAGAUUUCUUGAACACUAAGGGAUUAACUACGUGAUUAUUAAUAAUAAUAAUUUUACUAAUCAAUUAACCUCCAAUAAAUACGAGACAUGAAUUGGCAGUAUAUUAUUGCGAUAAUAGUUUUCGUUAUGGUGGUUACAUAUUUAUUAUUACUUAUUAAUACAAUAUGAGUAUAAUGAACGUUAGUUUUGCGUCGAACUUUGCGCUUGCGGAAUAACUCCUUAUUGAUUGCUAUAAAAAAUAUUUAGUAUGAUUAAAGAUAUGAUAGUAUAACAGCAUGCAUACAACAAA
This is a long non-coding RNA of Maniola jurtina (meadow brown), 3502 nucleotides long. RefSeq lists it as uncharacterized. The record is from RefSeq and is a predicted model, not a curated record. The transcript is spliced from 2 exons. Lineage: Eukaryota; Metazoa; Arthropoda; Insecta; Lepidoptera; Nymphalidae.